GGAAGGGGCAAGCGUUGUUCGGAAUUAUUGGGCGUAAAGGGCGCGUAGGUGGUCUUGUAUGUCUAUCGUGAAAGCACACGGCUCAACCGUGUAGAGUCGGUGGAAACUGCGAGACUUGAGGUUGGGAGGGGCUGGUGGAAUUCCCUGUGUAGCGGUGAAAUGCGUAGAGAUGGGGGAGAACACUUGUGGCGAAGGCGGCCAGCUGGACCAAAUCUGACACUGAGGCGCGACAGCGUGGGGAGCAAACAGGAUUAGAUACCCUGGUAGUCCACGCCGUAAACGAUGGGCACUAGGUGCUGGCGGUAUUGAUCCCGUCAGUGCCGGCGCUAACGCAGUAAGUGCCCCGCCUGGGGAGUACGGUCGCAAGGCUG
This 371-nucleotide ribosomal RNA is filed under the name uncultured bacterium. RNAcentral's name for it is "bacterial SSU rRNA". It matches the Rfam family "Bacterial small subunit ribosomal RNA", at positions 527 to 896 of the family's 1533-position model. The record is from RNAcentral.